CAGUUCCUUGAUUGCUGUUACACAUUAAAAUGAGUGUCAAUUCUAUUUUAAUUUUUUUUUGUCUCUGACAUUUUAUGGUUAAUUAUUACAUAUUUUAACAUCUAAGAUUUUUAAAUUAGAAACAAAUUAAACAUCAACUGAACAUGCUUUCCUUAUUAAACAUUAAACAACUCUUAAUGGAAACUUUGUAAUGUUAUAGUGAGCGCUAGUUUCACGAGGACGACUAAUGAAAAACAAAAUGCAACUUUAUGAAAAGUUUAUUGAUCGUUACAAAAACUUAAAAAGAAAAUAUUUUUUAACAUUGAAAAGCUUGCAAUGGCUUUAGAAAAUAAAAUUUAAAUUUCCUUUUCAGGAUUUCAAAUUUGAAAACUUACAAGUAACUUUAAACUCAAUAUAUUUUGCUACUUCAUUUUCAGUGGACAGAUAUGCUUGAUUUGAAAUUCGUUUUUCAAAAGUUAUUAAUAGUUGUUAGUUAACUUUAGCUUUGAAAAGCUUCUUUUCACAUGACGCCACGUAGACAUCCCACGUAAACAUGCAUUCGGCAAGAAACAGUUCAAGGUUUAAAUCAAAGGCUGGUAGAGAUUCGUUGACGUCCUUCAAAACUUUGUUGCCUUCUAGUUUUAGUAUUUCUGUUCACAUAUCUUGUCUUCUGGCCCAGUAUAAAAGAGAUUGAUGCACUCAGUAUUAACCUCGUGAAUCCGGCAUCUUAAGAUUUCUCUCCUGAUAUUUUCAUAUUGUUAAAACUUAUUUUUCUAUUUUUCUGUUGCAAUUAAAUGUUACUUUGAUUUGACAAAAGUUAUCUCAAUAACAUUUUGAGCUAAGUUGUCACAUAUUUCGUAGAGUAAAUGUUGAAGUGCUCUAGCUUAGCCAUCACUUUGCCAAUAAUUAACUCUUUAAUUUGAAGUUACUCUUGUGUUUAGUUGACUUUUUUUUAGUACAUUUGCCAACAAGAAAGUCAAGCAAUGAAAGGUAUACAUGUAUUCACAGACAGCUGGCAAUCGUCUUUGCGCUGCGCCUCUAGUGUUGGUAUUUUCAAAGCGAUGGCAAAUAUUUUCGCGUCACACUUUCAUAAAAUCUUUCUUUCAUGAGUCUAACAGCAACACGAUGAGCACACCAGCGAGUUGUUCCUAUGACACUCUAUCAUUCAUUAAAAUAUCCCAUCGAUUGUUAGAAGGGGCAUAGAAACAAAAACUUUUUCUAGAAAACCGAGAAAAUGUAUGUUGGAAGUAUUUCCUGAUAAAGAACUUUGACCACAUAUAACUUAAGUAAACGGUGUACACAUCCAUUCAAGUUUCUGUUCUGUCCUUCAUUUAUUACUGCCUGCACUUCGUCAUGAAUCCUUGACAUUGUAGCUGCAAUACCAUUGUCCCUGCAUUGUCCCUGAGCUCACCGUAUCAAUACUUUAAGCCUAUUUCUUUCCAGGCGUUUUAAAUUAUCAGAACUGAUACCAUUAGCUUUUGGUCCACUUCAAGAGGAAUAUCCUACAUCUCUGUCAUUUCAACAUUACCAUUGCUAUAUUUUGUAUUUAGGACCUACACAUGUUACCUUUCAUAGGGGAAAAAAGGUGGGGGGAUUACAGUACAUUAAAAAUUAUCAAUAAAAUGCAAAUGUAAAUAAUAUAUUGGCUUGUUUACAUGAAUUUGUAUAGCCUACAUUUUUCCAAGGAAGGAUUAGGGUAGGUCAAGUCAGUAGGAGGGAUGGCCUUAGAUACUUUUGUCUGUGUUUAUGGAAGUGACUUUAAAUUAAAAAAAAAAAUCCAUUCGGGGAAAAAAAAAGCUUCUCUUUCCUUCAUAGAUAUUACACCCAACAGCUCUAGACCAAACCUCCUGCAGGAUGAUUUGGGGGAGGGGGGGCAGGAUUCAAACUGGGGACCAUCGUGACUAAAGCGCAAAACCCAUACGACCAAGUAGCCAUCAUCUCUGUUAAGUGUAUUACGCAAAAGUUGUUAAAUUGUUUGAGUAUAAAUAUAACAUGGUUUACAAACAAAGUGUUCUGUGUCAUCAUGUCAGUCUUGUCACGUGAGACGUAGCCAAGACAAUGUACUGUUGGCUGGAGGGAAAUAUUUGUUUCGUUUCCUGAUUUUUUUAAAAAUUUAAAAUGUCUCUUUACUUAGUGACAUUAGCAUUACCCUUUUUAGCGCCCCCCCCCCCCAAAAAAAAGGGGAAAAGACGCUAUUAGUUUUGUGUGGCCUGUCCGUCCGUCAUUCCGUCUGUCUUUCUGUCCGUCCGUCUCGUUUAGAUCUCAGAAACUAGAAGAGAAAAUGAAAAUCGGACAUCAUGAUAUUUUAGAUUAUUCAAAGUUCUGAUGCAACAGCUACUUUUCCGAAAGUGAGCCAUCUAAUUUUUAAGAUUAUAUAUGCAAGCAGAUUUUUCAAAAAAUUACACCACUUUUCAAUGAAAAACUUCAGGGACCCUUGAAGACCCUUGAGUCUUACAUACUUACCUAAACAUUUGACAGAUUCCUAGCAGCGCUCUGGGUUGAAAAACUUCAGGGGAAGUAAGUCUUAUUAAAAAGUUCACAAGCUUUUUCAUUAAUAAAACAACUUCAUUCAUAGAUUUGCGUAUUUGUACAAAACAUUUGCAUCUACGGUCAAAAGUAAAAAUGGUAAAAGUGUCAAUAGAUCAUUAUAAAAUAUAUUUUCCAUUAAUUAACAAACUCAUUGAAUAGAAUACUGAUUCAAAUAUUAUUUAUAAAAAAAGAAGUUUGAUACGACUUCGUUUCAAUUAUAAGUUUAAAAACAACAACAACAAAAAAAAAAAAAACAACAACUACUUUUUUUUACCGCGCAGUUUUCACACAUCGUCAUUAGGUUAUACCAUGGAACUAUACUAAUGGAACACCAGCUUCGAGAUUUUAUGAUCAGAGUGCCGUCGCGCAUCUUUUUUUCGCGCAACAUACCAAUUUGAAAAAUCGAUGAGGAUGCCAAAGAAGAAAUUUACUCCGAGAGCCACUUGGAUUGACCUUCAUUGAGAGUAAAACUUCCCCACACUAUAUUUUAUUAGAUCUGUAAAAACUUUAUCCAUUUUCUGACUAUCUGAUAAAAUAGAUACAAUUUCCCUGAAUAAUGGAUCGUCACAAAAGAUUUUUUUUUAAGGCCACUUCAUUAAAAUAGGUGUUUCCAGUACUUCCUCAUUUGGGUAUUUUACACAAAAUCUGGAUUUUUUUUUAUGUACAUGUCAUUUUUAUCAUCUGUCCCGCGCAACCAAACCAUCCACUUUUCCCGGUCACCAAUGUUCUUAACAAGAUAUCAAGAGAGAGAGGCUGGUCCAUUAUUUGCGUAGUCCAGCCAGCUUUUUUUUUUACAACCCUUUUUCGUUCUCUCUCAUGAAGGAUAUGUUUUGAAAAUUAGUCUUACAAAAUACAAUUCCAAACCAACUCAUGCAGUUAUCGUCUUUUCACAGUAUUGAGGAGUCAUCCUUUUUGCUAGCCAGAGUGUUAAUUGGCAAAAGUGAAAAAUUCAUUUUCUUUAAUUUUUUAAAGUAAAUAUUCAUAACUAUAUCUUUUAUAUAAUAAUAUAUUUUUAAAAUAAUAAUCUUUUAUAUAGACAUGCUUUAAUAGAUCUAAUAAAUGAUUAACUCGGACCUACCAAUAUGGGUAUAUAAAUACUUAAAUCUGGGUAUUUAAAAUUUCGAAUGCGAAUUUUUAAAAAACCGAACUUAUAUUGAUCUAGAUCUCUUGUAUAAUAUCUAGAAUAAUAUAGAUCUACAACACCUAGGCCUAGACUAAAGUUAAAGACUAAGUUAUUAACAAGUAGAACCAUGGCAACCAGUUCUGAUGAUGUACCAGAAUGGCUCAAGGAUCAUACUUAUACUAUUUCUACUCUCUGGGCAUCCAUUCAAUAUUUAAUUUAUGUUUGGAAAUAUGCAAGAAAAAGGCAUGCAUUCCUGAAAAGUCAAUGAUUGGUUGCACCUCUUAAAGAUAACUUUCUGUUAUGAGAAAACAUGAGAUUCUUGGACUCCUGCAUAGCACCACCAGAAAGGAAAAUCCCAUCAUGUUGCAAAAUAAAAGUCUUGGACCAAUUUUAAUUUAAGAUAUAUAUAUUAUACUGUAAGCUGUAUACAUAUUUAUGUAUAUCCUGUCAUUCAGCCAACAGGUUUGGAUUUAGUAUUUCUUUAAAUCUGUUUGAUAUUGUACUUGAAAACUAUUAAUCUGAGCCCCAUUAAAACAAGAGGGAGUGCAGUGGAUGAGUGGUAAGGGAAAUUUUACUUUUUUAAAAUUAAAAUAAGAAUCUAACAAAAGUAAACAUAUAAAAUAUGGUGCAUUCUCCUUAAAACUAAAACCUGGUGCAAAGGUUUAAAAUGUUGGCAAAAAAAAAAGCAACAUCAAUUAAAUAUUCUUAAUUCCCUUUGCAAAACUUACUGAGAAGAACAUGCAUGUUGUUCCCUCAUAAGUUUCUUGACAGAGGAAAUCUUGUUUAUAUUAGAUUUGAAUUAAGCAAAUUAAGAAAAAAAUUAUAAUCAUUAUUUCAAAUGGUUGUAUCUAAACCUUAUGAAUUAUUUUUCAGUUAUAAGUAUAUUGAAAUGAAUGGAUAAUCAUGAAAUUGUUAAAUAAUUGCUGCUAUCAUUCCAUUGACUAAAGAACCAUAAUUUUUUUUUUUAAUUAAUUUCAAAAUUAAUUAAUUAAUUAAUUUUCAAGCAGAGUUCACAUAGAUCUUGAGUGAAAUUUUUCUUUUUUUGACAAAUGCUUCAAUUUUAUUGUAUCAUUAGUUUUUUAUUUUUAUUACCCAGAAUAUUUUAAAAAUGAGUACACUAUUUUCAUGUAAUAAUGUAACUUGGUAUUCACACAUCAAAAUACGCUAUAAUCUUUAGGCCAUAUAGAUUUGUAUAAAUAUAAAUUAACUUGCUUAAAUACAUUGUAAAUGCAUAUUGUUUGGAUAAGAAUAAAGUUUUUCUGUAGACAA
Biomphalaria glabrata is the source of this 4900-nucleotide long non-coding RNA. RefSeq lists it as uncharacterized. The record is from RefSeq and is a predicted model, not a curated record. Lineage: Eukaryota; Metazoa; Mollusca; Gastropoda; Planorbidae. The transcript has 4 exons.